Corythoichthys intestinalis (scribbled pipefish) is the source of this 1259-nucleotide long non-coding RNA. RefSeq lists it as uncharacterized. The record is from RefSeq and is a predicted model, not a curated record. The transcript is spliced from 3 exons. Lineage: Eukaryota; Metazoa; Chordata; Actinopteri; Syngnathiformes; Syngnathidae.
GAAAUCAAACAAACACAACUCUUGGCAUCCAGACAGGCUUUCACUCGCUGUCCUCCCUGGUUCUCACGAUUUUAGAAGAGGGUGCUUUUAGUGCUUUCCACUGGUAGCCGGGCCAGAGGCUCAUGCUAGCGGCUAACGACACAAUUGAACGUGAUGGAAUCGGAUAGCAGCUCUAACAUUGUCGAAAUGGCUGAACUUAAUGAGUGGAUUGAGCACAGACUGCAUCUAACAAUUAAAAAAGCGUCUCUGAAUAAAGGACCAAGCAAUAAGGACCCUGAAAAUAUGGAGCUGCUUCAAAGGCUCACAAUGUAUUUGACAACUUGGCUGAGGUGUCAAUGGAUACAACAGAAGAGGUUUGACCUGAGGCAUCCAAUGACCCUAAAUAAUUUUAGGUAUAUUUCAUAUACCGUAAUUUUCGGACUAUAAGCUGCUACUUUUUUUCCUUCAUUUUGAAUCCUGCGGCUUACAGUCCAGUGUGGCUUAUUUCUUGAUUUAUUUGGAUUAAUAGGUAACACUUUAUUUGACGGUGGCAUCAUAGGACUGUCAAAUGACCGUCAUAAUUAUGGCAUGACACUGGGCAUUACUGAAUGCUUAUGACAUAUGUCAUUAAGAAUAAUCCUGCAAAUUAUGUCACUACCUCCAUUUAUGUCCAACUCGGAGCUUUUACAUCCAUUCAAAAGUGAGAUAAUUUGCCGGAUAACACUAAAGGACAUUUGUUGUAAGCAUUCUUUCAUGCUCAUGGCAGUCAUGUCAUAAUUAUGAUGAUAAUGGACAAUGCUUGUUUUGCAAAUAAGUGAAAAUAUCUAAAAAAGGGUUGUAGGCAAUGUUCACCUAUGGUUUGUUAUAUCCUGUGCUCCAGUUUUGACCUGCUAAACUAGUAUUCAAGGAAUAGUAGUGUCUUCCGUUGUUAUUUUAAUCACAGUUUUUAGAGGAUCUUUGUUUGUUUUUUAAGACUACAAACAUAUAGGGUAAAGACAAGCAGACAGUCAGUAAUGUCACAAAUAAAUAGGCCACCGGUAAUUUGAUUUUCCAUAAUGUUUGUAAAAAUAGGAUCAAUUAUUGUGGCACUAUGUGAUGUUAAUCUGGUAGGUUGGGUAUAAACUCAAACUUUACAUUGUGUCAAGAAAGUCAUCAAUGCCUUUUUGUUUCAUGUGAUUUAUCAAAUCAAUGUAAAAAUCACCACAAAUAAAUGAUUUUUGAUUCAGAGUAGAAAACAAUGUAUUCAUCCAUCCAUUAAAAGUUGCUAUAUUUGAACCUGG